ACCCUGACCCCGCAAAGGUAGCAUAAUCACUUGCCCCUUAAUUAGGGGCUGGCAUGAAAGGACACACAAAAAGCUUCCCUGUCUCACAAUAACAAAUAAAAAUUAAUCUUCAAGUGAAAAAGCUUGAAUCAAACUGCAGGACAAGAAGACCCCGUUGAGCUUUAUUCUCUAUAGACUAAAUCAAAUAUUAAAUACAUCAUAAACCUAAAAAGAAUUUAGUUGGGGUGACUAAGGAACACCGAAUACUUCCUUUUAUUAAUUAGGAUCAUUCUCCGUACAAAUUGACCCAUUACACAUGAUCAAAAAAAUAAGCUACCACAGGGAUAACAGGCUAAUCUUUCUCAAGAGCCCAAAUUGUCAGAAAGGAUUGGCACCUCGAUGUUGGCUUAGGGGCCCCUAAUGGUGCAGAAGCCAUAAAAGGUAGGUUUGUUCAACCUUUAAAACCCUACGUGAUCUGAGUUCAAACCGGAUUU
RNAcentral lists this ribosomal RNA (473 nucleotides) under Lamellibrachia columna. RNAcentral's name for it is "partial large subunit ribosomal RNA". It matches the Rfam family "Bacterial large subunit ribosomal RNA", at positions 1939 to 2623 of the family's 2925-position model. Lineage: Eukaryota; Metazoa; Annelida; Polychaeta; Sabellida; Siboglinidae. The record is from RNAcentral.